RNAcentral lists this ribosomal RNA (119 nucleotides) under Fusarium culmorum. Lineage: Eukaryota; Fungi; Ascomycota; Sordariomycetes; Hypocreales; Nectriaceae. The record is from RNAcentral. RNAcentral also lists the same sequence under 3 other names.
ACAUACGACCACACCUGCGAGAAAAUACGGGAUCCCGUCCGCUCUCCCAUCGUCAAGCUCGCAAGGGGUGGAUUAGUAGUUGGGUCGGUGACGACCAGCGAAUACCCGCUGUUGUAUGU